UAUAUAUAUAUAUAUAUAUAUAUGUAUGUAUGUAUUUGUUUGUUUAUUUAUUUAUUAUAUAUAUAUUUAUUAAUAUAUGCAUAUUAUUGUAUAAUUUUAGCAAUUACUGUAAAACAAUUAUGGCUGAGACUGGAUAUUAAUAAGGCACACAGGAAAUUUCUGUUUAGUUUCCAAACCAUCACAGAAUUUCCAAUCACAUCCGAAUUCUGCUCGCAAUAGUAAAGACUGGAAUAUCGUACCUUUUAUAUUAUUUGCUUCCAUUGCAAAUUAAUGCAGCAAUAAGCAUUUAAGUCUAUGUAUUUAUGUAUUUAUUCCACUCCUUUGUAAUGGAUUGAUAUGCUUUAAAAUGACUUUUGUUAAGUCUUAACAACAACUUGUUUAAUGGCUUUAGAGCAUGUUUCACAGUACAUAUUAAUAAUGUAGCCUAAAUUAGAACUCAGCUUAUGUACAAGCACUGAAAAUAGAUAUAGAAAGUGAACACUUUCAGUUCUCAGAAAGGGUAAAAAAAAAAAAAAAAAAAACCUCUCCCAAGAAAAUUCCUAUCAAGUGAUUUAGCAACCUCAGGCAGGUGAAAAAGCAACAGUGAAAAGUUUUUAUAUUCAUAUCUUGGGUGUAGAAAGAAACCAGCUAUAAGUUGUGUUUAUGAAAUUAUACCUAUUUCAUAACGUACCACACAUCCAACACAGGCAUUAAAAUAAUGUAUGCUGUUACUUGCUGGAUCAAGUGCUGUCUGAAAACAUGUCUUUACUAAAUACCCACAGAACAAGAGUGUACAUCUUUAAGACUUCUGUCACACCCACUCCUUUCAUGUAAAAACACACCUUUAAACCUAAAAUGUAGCCUACUGAUAAGAGAGUGGACAAGUUGACAGAAAAUUCUUGUGAACUUGCAUAUUUAAAAAAAAAAAUAUUGCAAACUUUUGCACAUAUUCUCCAAACUUGUAUAAGACAAGUCACUUUUUACCUGAGUGUGUUUGACAUGUUAUUUUAUUUUAUUAUUUUUUAUGCAUUUUUAAAGUUUGCCACCAUAUAUUUUAUACUCUGCAACACUAUACAGAUUAUUUGAAUGUGUCAGUUAUUUGAUGAGUAAAUAUAAAGAAAACCAUAUAGUGCAUAUAGCAUACUUGCUUUAGGAGAUUACUUUUAAAGAACUGUAUAAAUUAAAACACAAAUAAAAAAGAAUGCUAAAUAUCAGUUUUGAGUUUCCUGUUUAUCAGAAAAUCAAGUCGGCUGGAUAUUUUAGGUUUCCCAAACCACCAGUAGUACUGAGGUGCCACCCCACACACUAACAUGUCUGUGUCAUGCCUGUAUGAAGAAUGAUCUAUUAAGUGAUAUGAUUCACCAAAAACCACACGGUAAAUUGUGGUCCUGUAGUGGUCUCUAGAGAGU
Long non-coding RNA from Ictalurus punctatus (channel catfish), 1388 nucleotides. The record is from Ensembl. NCBI's taxonomy places the organism in Eukaryota, Metazoa, Chordata, Actinopteri, Siluriformes, Ictaluridae.